This 399-nucleotide ribosomal RNA is filed under the name Triticum aestivum (bread wheat). Its description in RNAcentral is "partial small subunit ribosomal RNA". The record is from RNAcentral. Lineage: Eukaryota; Viridiplantae; Streptophyta; Magnoliopsida; Poales; Poaceae.
AUGUCAGAGUUCUUGGUCACCGCCGCAUCGGUGCCAUAGACAAUGUUUAUGUGGGGGAGGAAGGUGGCGGCGUGCUGCAGGUCCAGCGCCUCGCCGCGGAGCUUGUCGGGGUGAGCGCUGACGAGCGCGAUCUCGUCGGCGAGGUUCCGGGUGAGGAUGGUCUGCACGAUGGCCAUGCCCACCUUGCCGGCGCCGAUGACAGAGACCUUGGUGAGGCGGUGGUGCGUGGAGAUGGGUGUGAUCGGGAAGCCGUCGGCCACAGGGCGGAAGAAGCCUGACGACCCUCCGCCGGCGUCUAAGCCCAGGUCCGACAGCAACGAGAUCUUGUGCAUGUUCGAGGAGUACUGGAGCGAAUGCUGGUCGGAUCAAGCGUGGGAUUGGGAGUUUGGGAUUGUAUGA